RNAcentral lists this ribosomal RNA (402 nucleotides) under uncultured prokaryote. RNAcentral describes it as "bacterial SSU rRNA". It matches the Rfam family "Bacterial small subunit ribosomal RNA", at positions 355 to 774 of the family's 1533-position model. The record is from RNAcentral.
UAGGGAAUAUUAGAAAUGGACGAAAGUCUGAUCUAGCAACACCGCGUGUGCGAAGAAGGCCUUCGGGUUGUAAAGCACUUUUUGGAAGGAUUAGGAAGGAAUGUACUUCCAGAAUAAGUCUCGGCUAACUACGUGCCAGCAGCCGCGGUAACACGUAGGAGGCAAACGUUAUCCGGAUUUACUGGGCGUAAAGCGCGUGUAGGUGGUUCUGUAAGUAGGGCGUGAAAGCUCCUGGCUCAACUGGGAGAGGCCGUUCUAAACUGCAGAACUAGAGGAUGGUAGAGGGAGGUGGAAUUUCAGGUGUAGCGGUGGAAUGCGCAGAUAUCUGAAGGAACACCAGUGGCGAAAGCGGCCUCCUGGACCAUUCCUGACACUCAGACGCGAAAGCUAGGGUAGCAAACG